This 336-nucleotide ribosomal RNA is filed under the name Vibrio parahaemolyticus. Its description in RNAcentral is "partial 23S ribosomal RNA". It matches the Rfam family "Bacterial large subunit ribosomal RNA", at positions 1341 to 1676 of the family's 2925-position model. The record is from RNAcentral. Lineage: Bacteria; Pseudomonadati; Pseudomonadota; Gammaproteobacteria; Vibrionales; Vibrionaceae.
GAAGACCAAGGGUUCCUGUCCAACGUUAAUCGGGGCAGGGUAAGUCGACCCCUAAGGCGAGGCCGAAAGGCGUAGUCGAUGGGAAACGGGUUAAUAUUCCCGUACUUCUUACAAUUGCGAUGGGGGGACGGAGAAGGCUAGGUGGGCCUGGCGACGGUUGUCCAGGUUCAAGUGCGUAGGCUUAAGAGUUAGGUAAAUCCGGCUCUUUUUAAGGCUGAGACACGACGUCGAGCACCUACGGGUGUGAAGUCAUUGAUGCCAUGCUUCCAGGAAAAGCCUCUAAGCUUCAGAUUGUAAGGAAUCGUACCCCAAACCGACACAGGUGGUCGGGUAGAG